AAAAUACAUUAUUAACUUUGGAAAAAAUGUGAUUAACCUUAAUGAGAACCUUGUGCCUGGUGACUUUGGCAGAUUUUGUUGAUUCAAGGAGACAAGUUUGUUUCAGCUGUAAUUCAUCCUGUUUUCUAAUUUCAAGUUUGCUUCUCUUGGCUUAAAGAAAUCAUCAACAGCAUUAAAG
Long non-coding RNA from Octopus sinensis (East Asian common octopus), 178 nucleotides. RefSeq lists it as uncharacterized. The record is from RefSeq and is a predicted model, not a curated record. Lineage: Eukaryota; Metazoa; Mollusca; Cephalopoda; Octopoda; Octopodidae. The transcript is spliced from 4 exons.